UUGGAGGGCAAGUCUGGUGCCAGCAGCCGCGGUAAUUCCAGCUCCAAUAGCGUAUAUUAAAGUUGUUGCAGUUAAAAAGCUCGUAGUUGAAUUUCGGGGUUCUACCGUUGGUCGGGCUUUGUCUGUACUGGCGUGUAGAAUUUCUACCUUCUGGGGAACCAUUAUGUUAUUAAUUUAGCGUGGUGGGAAACCAGGACCUUUACCUUGAAAAAAUUAGAGUGUUCAAAGCAGGCUUAUGUCUGAAUACAUUAGCAUGGAAUAAUAGAAUAGGACGGUGGUCCUGUUUUG
Molecule: ribosomal RNA, 288 nt
Filed under: uncultured Scutellospora
Lineage: Eukaryota; Fungi; Glomeromycota; Glomeromycetes; Diversisporales; Gigasporaceae
Description: partial 18S ribosomal RNA
Rfam family: Eukaryotic small subunit ribosomal RNA
Source: RNAcentral